Molecule: ribosomal RNA, 218 nt
Filed under: Symphurus plagiusa (blackcheek tonguefish)
Lineage: Eukaryota; Metazoa; Chordata; Actinopteri; Pleuronectiformes; Cynoglossidae
Description: partial small subunit ribosomal RNA
Source: RNAcentral
GUCGGUAAAACUCGUGCCAGCCACCGCGGUUAGACGAGCAGCUCAAGUUGAUGAAAUGCGGCGUAAGGCGUGGUUAGGAGAAAACUACAAGUAAAGUCAAACGCUUUCAAGGCCGUUAAAGGCGCCCGAAAAGUUGAAGCCCGAUUACAAAAGUAACUUUAUUACCCCCGACCCCACGAAAGCUGGUGAAACAAACUGGGAUUAGAUACCCCACUAUG